GGAAUAUUGCACAAUGGGGGAAACCCUGAUGCAGCGAUGCCGCGUGGAGGAAGAAGGUUUUCGGAUUGUAAACUCCUGUCUUAAAGGACGAUAAUGACGGUACUUUAGGAGGAAGCUCCGGCUAACUACGUGCCAGCAGCCGCGGUAAUACGUAGGGAGCGAGCGUUGUCCGGAAUUACUGGGUGUAAAGGGAGCGUAGGCGGGAUUGCAAGUCAGGUGUGAAAACUAUGGGCUUAACCCAUAGACUGCACUUGAAACUGUAGUUCUUGAGUGAAGUAGAGGUAAGCGGAAUUCCUGGUGUAGCGGUGAAAUGCGUAGAUAUCAGGAGGAACACCGGUGGCGAAGGCGGCUUACUGGGCUUUUACUGACGCUGAGGCUCGAAAGCGUGGGGAGCAAACA
This 399-nucleotide ribosomal RNA is filed under the name uncultured Ruminococcus sp. RNAcentral describes it as "bacterial SSU rRNA". It matches the Rfam family "Bacterial small subunit ribosomal RNA", at positions 358 to 774 of the family's 1533-position model. Lineage: Bacteria; Bacillati; Bacillota; Clostridia; Eubacteriales; Oscillospiraceae. The record is from RNAcentral.